GGAUGCAAGCGUUAUCCGGAAUCAUUGGGCGUAAAGCGCCUGUAGGUGGCCUAAUAAGUCUGUUGUUAAAGACCAGGGCUUAACCCUGGGAAAGCAAUGGAAACUACUAGGCUUGAGUAUGGUAGGGGUAGAGGGAAUUUCUAGUGUAGCGGUGAAAUGCGUAGAUAUUAGAAAGAACACCGGUGGCGAAAGCGCUCUACUGGGCCAUUACUGACACUCAGAGGCGAAAGCUAGGGGAGCGAAAGGGAUUAGAUACCCCUGUAGUCCUAGCCGUAAACGAUGGAUACUAGGUGUUGUAUUUUAAUACAGUAUCGUAGCUAACGCGUUAAGUAUCCCGCCUGGGGAGUACGCUCGCAAGGGUGAAACUCAAAGGAAUUGACGGGGGCCCGCACAAGCGGUGGAGCAUGUGGUUUAAUUCGAUGCAACGCGAAGAACCUUACCAGGGCUUGACAUACUACAAAUCUUUUUGAGACGAAAGAGUGCCUUCGGGAAUGUAGAUACAGGUGGUGCAUGGCUGUCGUCAGCUCGUGUCGUGAGAUGUUGGGUUAAGUCCCGCAACGAGCGCAACCCUCGUUUUUAGUUGCCAAUUUAUUGGGAUUUCUAAAGAGACUGCCGAUGAUAAAUCGGAGGAAGGUGAGGAUGACGUCAAGUCAGCAUGCCCCUUAUGUCCUGGGCCACACACGUGCUACAAUGGCAAAGACAAAGAGUCGCAAAUUCGCGAGAACUAGCUAAUCUCAUAAACUUUGCCUAAGUUCGGAUUGUA
RNAcentral lists this ribosomal RNA (763 nucleotides) under Umbilicosphaera hulburtiana. RNAcentral describes it as "bacterial SSU rRNA". It matches the Rfam family "Bacterial small subunit ribosomal RNA", at positions 530 to 1302 of the family's 1533-position model. The record is from RNAcentral. Lineage: Eukaryota; Haptophyta; Coccolithales; Calcidiscaceae.